UAAGGGCGCACGGUGGAUGCCUUGGCACUAGAAGCCGAUGAAGGACGUUACUAACGACGAUAUGCUUUGGGGAGCUGUAAGUAAGCUUUGAUCCAGAGAUUUCCGAAUGGGGAAACCCAGCAUGAGUUAUGUCAUGUUAUCGAUAUGUGAAUACAUAGCAUAUCAGAAGGCACACCCGGAGAACUGAAACAUCUUAGUACCCGGAGGAAGAGAAAGAAAAUUCGAUUCCCUUAGUAGCGGCGAGCGAAACGGGAAGAGCCCAAACCAACAAGCUUGCUUGUUGGGGUUGUAGGACACUCUAUACGGAGUUACAAAGGACGACAUUAGACGAAUCAUCUGGAAAGAUGAAUCAAAGAAGGUAAUAAUCCUGUAGUCGAAAAUGUUGUCUCUCUUGAGUGGAUCCUGAGUACGACGGAGCACGUGAAAUUCCGUCGGAAUCUGGGAGGACCAUCUCCUAAGGCUAAAUACUCUCUAGUGACCGAUAGUGAACCAGUACCGUGAGGGAAAGGUGAAAAGCACCCCGGAAGGGGAGUGAAAUAGAACCUGAAACCGUGUGCUUACAAGUAGUCAGAGCCCGUUAAUGGGUGAUGGCGUGCCUUUUGUAGAAUGAACCGGCGAGUUACGAUUUGAUGCAAGGUUAAGCAGUAAAUGUGGAGCCGUAGCGAAAGCGAGUCUGAAUAGGGCGUUUAGUAUUUGGUCGUAGACCCGAAACCAGGUGAUCUACCCUUGGUCAGGUUGAAGUUCAGGUAACACUGAAUGGAGGACCGAACCGACUUACGUUGAAAAGUGAGCGGAUGAACUGAGGGUAGCGGAGAAAUUCCAAUCGAACCUGGAGAUAGCUGGUUCUCUCCGAAAUAGCUUUAGGGCUAGCCUCAAGUGAUGAUUAUUGGAGGUAGAGCACUGUUUGGACGAGGGGCCCCUCUCGGGUUACCGAAUUCAGACAAACUCCGAAUGCCAAUUAAUUUAACUUGGGAGUCAGAACAUGGGUGAUAAGGUCCGUGUUCGAAAGGGAAACAGCCCAGACCACCAGCUAAGGUCCCAAAAUAUAUGUUAAGUGGAAAAGGAUGUGGCGUUGCCCAGACAACUAGGAUGUUGGCUUAGAAGCAGCCAUCAUUUAAAGAGUGCGUAAUAGCUCACUAGUCGAGUGACACUGCGCCGAAAAUGUACCGGGGCUAAACAUAUUACCGAAGCUGUGGAUUGUCCUUUGGACAAUGGUAGGAGAGCGUUCUAAGGGCGUUGAAGCAUGAUCGUAAGGACAUGUGGAGCGCUUAGAAGUGAGAAUGCCGGUGUGAGUAGCGAAAGACGGGUGAGAAUCCCGUCCACCGAUUGACUAAGGUUUCCAGAGGAAGGCUCGUCCGCUCUGGGUUAGUCGGGUCCUAAGCUGAGGCCGACAGGCGUAGGCGAUGGAUAACAGGUUGAUAUUCCUGUACCACCUAUAAUCGUUUUAAUCGAUGGGGGGACGCAGUAGGAUAGGCGAAGCGUGCGAUUGGAUUGCACGUCUAAGCAGUAAGGCUGAGUAUUAGGCAAAUCCGGUACUCGUUAAGGCUGAGCUGUGAUGGGGAGAAGACAUUGUGUCUUCGAGUCGUUGAUUUCACACUGCCGAGAAAAGCCUCUAGAUAGAAAAUAGGUGCCCGUACCGCAAACCGACACAGGUAGUCAAGAUGAGAAUUCUAAGGUGAGCGAGCGAACUCUCGUUAAGGAACUCGGCAAAAUGACCCCGUAACUUCGGGAGAAGGGGUGCUCUUUAGGGUUAACGCCCAGAAGAGCCGCAGUGAAUAGGCCCAAGCGACUGUUUAUCAAAAACACAGGUCUCUGCUAAACCGUAAGGUGAUGUAUAGGGGCUGACGCCUGCCCGGUGCUGGAAGGUUAAGAGGAGUGGUUAGCUUCUGCGAAGCUACGAAUCGAAGCCCCAGUAAACGGCGGCCGUAACUAUAACGGUCCUAAGGUAGCGAAAUUCCUUGUCGGGUAAGUUCCGACCCGCACGAAAGGCGUAACGAUUUGGGCACUGUCUCAACGAG
This 2018-nucleotide ribosomal RNA is filed under the name Staphylococcus aureus. RNAcentral's name for it is "partial 23S ribosomal RNA". It matches the Rfam family "Bacterial large subunit ribosomal RNA", at positions 12 to 2028 of the family's 2925-position model. The record is from RNAcentral. Lineage: Bacteria; Bacillati; Bacillota; Bacilli; Caryophanales; Staphylococcaceae.